GCCAGACUCCUACGGGAGGCAGCAGUGGGGGAUAUUGCACAAUGGGGGAAACCCUGAUGCAGCGACGCCGCGUGGGUGAAGAAGCGCCUCGGCGCGUAAAGCCCUGUCAGCAGGGAAGAAAAUGACGGUACCUGAAGAAGAAGCCCCGGCUAACUACGUGCCAGCAGCCGCGGUAAUACGUAGGGGGCAAGCGUUGUCCGGAUUUACUGGGUGUAAAGGGAGCGUAGACGGCUGUGCAAGCCAGAUGUGAAAGCCCGGGGCUCAACCCCGGGACUGCAUUUGGAACUGUGUGGCUGGAGUGCAGGAGGGGCAGGCGGAAUUCCUGGUGUAGCGGUGAAAUGCGUAGAUAUCAGGAGGAACACCGGUGGCGAAGGCGGCCUGCUGGACUGCAACUGACGUUGAGGCCCGAAAGCGUGGGGAGCAAACAGGAUUAGAUACCCCGGUA
Molecule: ribosomal RNA, 445 nt
Filed under: uncultured bacterium
Lineage: Bacteria
Description: bacterial SSU rRNA
Rfam family: Bacterial small subunit ribosomal RNA
Source: RNAcentral